CAAAGAGGGGGACAACAGUUGGAAACGACUGCUAAUACCGCAUAAGCCCACGGCUCGGCAUCGAGCAGAGGGAAAAGGAGCAAUCCGCUUUGAGAUGGCCUCGCGUCCGAUUAGCUAGUUGGUGAGGUAACGGCCCACCAAGGCGACGAUCGGUAGCCGGACUGAGAGGUUGAACGGCCACAUUGGGACUGAGACACGGCCCAGACUCCUACGGGAGGCAGCAGUGGGGAAUAUUGCACAAUGGGGGAAACCCUGAUGCAGCGACGCCGCGUGGAGGAAGAAGGUCUUCGGAUUGUAAACUCCUGUUGUUGAGGAAGAUAAUGACGGUACUCAACAAGGAAGUGACGGCUAACUACGUGCCAGCAGCCGCGGUAAAACGUAGGUCACAAGCGUUGUCCGGAAUUACUGGGUGUAAAGGGAGCGCAGGCGGGAGAACAAGUUGGAAGUGAAAUCCAUGGGCUCAACCCAUGAACUGCUUUCAAAACUGUUUUUCUUGAGUAGUGCAGAGGUAGGCGGAAUUCCCGGUGUAGCGGUGGAAUGCGUAGAUAUCGGGAGGAACACCAGUGGCGAAGGCGGCCUACUGGGCACCAACUGACGCUGAGGCUCGAAAGUGUGGGUGGCAAA
RNAcentral lists this ribosomal RNA (624 nucleotides) under uncultured bacterium. RNAcentral describes it as "bacterial SSU rRNA". It matches the Rfam family "Bacterial small subunit ribosomal RNA", at positions 132 to 772 of the family's 1533-position model. The record is from RNAcentral.